RNAcentral lists this long non-coding RNA (273 nucleotides) under Elaeis guineensis (African oil palm). Its description in RNAcentral is "long non-coding RNA (EGUI_LNC028083)". The record is from RNAcentral. Lineage: Eukaryota; Viridiplantae; Streptophyta; Magnoliopsida; Arecales; Arecaceae.
UUGAGAUAACAACAGGUUGCAGAUGGCCGGGUCAAUAAUUGUGUAAUAAUGUAGCAACCCAUUAAGUAAUAUGAUAGACAUGAAUAGCAUAGUGGUGUUGAGAAAAUAAUAUAAUGAACAACCACAGGCUUCCGUUCCCCACAUGUGUUUGCAAAAUCUUUUCCAAAGAUUAAUUAUUCUCUGCGCUUGUGUGAAGGUAUCAGACACGUAAGAACUUGAGCAUUCAAUAGCAGUGUAAGGCAUAAGAAAACAUGAUAAAUAACUCAAAGCCAU